The sequence is a regulatory RNA element, 106 nucleotides long. It matches the Rfam family "SAM riboswitch aptamer (S box leader)". From Rfam's summary of the family: The SAM riboswitch is found upstream of a number of genes which code for proteins involved in methionine or cysteine biosynthesis in Gram-positive bacteria. The SAM riboswitch acts at the level of transcription termination control. The record is from Rfam.
UUUUUAUCAAGAGUGACUGAAGGAACAGGCCUAGUGAAGUCACAGCAACCUUCCAAGUGGAGUGGUGCUACCUCCUGCAGAAUGGGUGCAUUCUGGAAGAUAAAGA